CAGGUCUUAAGUUUAAUGGUUAAGAUGCUGGUUAAGAUACCUGCAUCCACACCAGAGUGCCGGGGUUGAAGAUUGGUUCCUGACUCUGACUUCCUGCUGAUGCAGAUCCUGGGAGGCAGCUGUGAUGGCUCAAGAAAUUGUGGUCGUUCUCCCCACAUGGCAGACCUGGACUGAGUUUCUGGUACCUGUCUUCAGCCUGGCUCAGCCUUGGCUGUGGUGGGCAGUUGGAGGGUAAGGCAGCAGAUGAGAGAUCUCUGUCUCUGUCACCGUGCCUAUCAAUAAUUUUAAAAAAGUCAUGAGAGAUGGCUGUUAGUAGAACUAUUUAAUAGAUGAAGAAACUGAAGUUGAGAAACAUUACCUGGCUUGCUCAGGCUUCUAUAGAAAGUAGCAAUAUUGGGGGGAAACUCAUUUCUUACCUGAUUCUGGAGUCUGCUCUCUUUCUAAACACCCUUCCUGUUCAAAAUGAUCAUCAUGGUCCGUGGGGACCUGGUUAGAUAAAUGUGGCUGUGGCAUCCACUUGCUUCUCUGAGAACAACUAGAACAGAAAUGUGUUUCAACAGCUCAGAGAAAAACGCGCAUUUCCAUAGAUGUGCUGUAUGUAAACUAUGCCUCAUCUUCAGGGAGCAUAUUUGCAAGGGGGGUUUGUUUUUUUUUUAUUUUUUCCACAGUGCUUAUAUUCACAUCCUUACCAAACAUAUUAUCUUAGAGGCAAUCAAAUUAAACAAUAAAUUUCAUUUAUUUCCAAUGUCCUUUAUUCUUCCUAAGCAUAUUUGUUUGUGUUUUGACCUUUCGGAGAGUGUGUGUGAUGUGAAUUGGAGUCAUUUUACCAGCAAUUCUCCUUUACUGUAAUUUUUCAGUCACAAGGUCUUUGACUACAUAACCAUGUUGCUCGUCACCACAUUGAAUCUCAAAAAAAGUAACAUCUGACGGAGCUGGGAAUGGGAAAGUGAGAGACAGGUGGUGACGUAGCCUGCAGUCUUCAAGGCUUCUACCUUAUUCCUGGGGCUAGGUAUUUCUGUUGGACCUUUAGGUCUCAGGGUUUUCUGUGACUCUCAGAAGACCGUCCUUCUUGGGACACGUGCCCCUUGGGAACAGGACUGUCACAGGGGACAUUCCUGAGCAGGCCGUCAUGGCUGAGGACGUGCUUUCUGUCACGCCUCUAACCUGACUCUUCUUGAGACGCAACAUGUCGCAUCCCAGAUUUGCCCUGGCCAUUUCGGGCUCCAGGAAAAUGUGGCACUCAAUUUCUUGCCAGUCAAUGUUUUAUCAUAUAUAUAUAUGUGUAUGUAUACAUAUAUAUGUGUAUAUAUAUAUAGAUACACACAUAUGUAAGAUAUACAUAUACAUGUAAUACAUACAUGCAUAUAUGUAAUAUAUUCAUAAAUAUAUGUAAAAUAUAGAAACAAAUUUUAUCUGAUUUCUCCA
RNAcentral lists this long non-coding RNA (1425 nucleotides) under Oryctolagus cuniculus (rabbit). Its description in RNAcentral is "lncRNA (ENSOCUG00000037420.1)". The record is from RNAcentral. Lineage: Eukaryota; Metazoa; Chordata; Mammalia; Lagomorpha; Leporidae.